This 468-nucleotide ribosomal RNA is filed under the name uncultured bacterium. RNAcentral's name for it is "partial 16S ribosomal RNA". It matches the Rfam family "Bacterial small subunit ribosomal RNA", at positions 28 to 507 of the family's 1533-position model. The record is from RNAcentral.
GACGAACGCUGGCGGCGUGCUUAACACAUGCAAGUCGAACGGAAAGGCCCUGCUUUUGUGGGGUGCUCGAGUGGCGAACGGGUGAGUAACACGUGAGUAACCUGCCCUUGACUUUGGGAUAACUUCAGGAAACUGGGGCUAAUACCGGAUAGGAGCUCCUGCUGCAUGGUGGGGGUUGGAAAGUUUCGGCGGUUGGGGAUGGACUCGCGGCUUAUCAGCUUGUUGGUGGGGUAGUGGCUUACCAAGGCUUUGACGGGUAGCCGGCCUGGGAGGGUGACCGGCCACAUUGGGACUGGGAUACGGCCCAGACUGCUACGGGAGGCAGCAGUGGGGAAUAUUGCACAAUGGGCUGAAGCCUGAUGCAGCAACGCCGCGUGUGGGAUGACGGCCUUCGGGUUGUAAACCGCUUUCGCCUGUGACGAAGCGUGAGUGACGGUAAUGGGUAAAGAAGCACCGGCUAACUACGUG